AUAGCGUAUAUUAAAGUUGUUGCAGUUAAAAAGCUCGUAGUUGAAUUUCGGGAUCAAUUAGUCGGUCGUGCCUCUGGUACGUACUGGUUUUAUUGGUUCCUCCCUUCUGACGAAACAUGAUGUCAUUAAUUUGGUGUCGUGGAGAAUCAGGACUGUUACCUUGAAAAAAUUAGAGUGUUUAUAGCAGGCUAACGCUUGAAUACAUUAGCAUGGAAUAAUGAAAUAGGACGUUCGACCCUAUUUUGUUGGUUUCUAGGAUCGACGUAAUGAUUAAUAGGGAUAGUUGGGGGCAUUAGUAUUCAAUUGUCAGAGGUGAAAUUCUUGGAUUUAUUGAAGACUAACUACUG
This 347-nucleotide ribosomal RNA is filed under the name uncultured eukaryote. RNAcentral's name for it is "SSU rRNA". It matches the Rfam family "Eukaryotic small subunit ribosomal RNA", at positions 594 to 945 of the family's 1831-position model. The record is from RNAcentral.